Long non-coding RNA from Drosophila santomea, 496 nucleotides. RefSeq lists it as uncharacterized. The record is from RefSeq and is a predicted model, not a curated record. NCBI's taxonomy places the organism in Eukaryota, Metazoa, Arthropoda, Insecta, Diptera, Drosophilidae. The transcript has 2 exons.
GCCAGACCAGCAAGACCUGAAUAUGGCGAAGCCAGUCACAUAUAUGCGGCUGUUCGACGCUCAGGGUAUUUGUUGUUAAACAAAGGCGACAGCUACUACUCCACGCCAGAGGGCAUUCCCCCCACCAUCGCACUCCUGCCGGCAGCUGUUUACACAUACUCCCAUAACAAGGACGACUCUGCAGUCCAAGUUGCAGUGGCAUAAACGUGAACGAAGCACCAACAUUGUAAUUAAAUCUGCGUCAACAUAAACGCUGCCAGCUGCACAAGCGGCUGGAGCAAAAAUGGCCAAGGAGGAUGCUCACUUGUUGGCCGAGACAGGUGGGCAUACGGGACUUACUUGGAUGAGCAGAAAACUCUGACUAGACACAAUCAAAAAAAAAGGCGAGGCUUUAAUUGUUUAAUGCCCAAGUUUUCUGUAACAAAUUUUCAUAGAAAAAUGUAAAAUUCUCUUAUUAGAGCAAGUCUUUCGACAAAAAAGAAGCCCCUACUCUUAA